AUGAUUGCUCGCUUGGGUGACUUGUUGUUUAGAAUCUCAAAUGAUGUCAGAGGUGUAGGAAAACAUGCCUCUAUGGUUCAAACUCAAUUAGAACAAGUUGCUCAAUCUCAAAAAGAAUUGCUAACUGAAAUGAAUAAUAAUAUAAAUGAUUUUGCUGUUAGAGUAGCAACUAGAGGAGGUAAAAUGACUCAGGAACCACUUUAUCCUGAGGGACACCCUAAGAGAAUUGAACAAGAUUCACAAAGAGUUAACAAUAGUGUACAUAGUCCUUCUAGAAAGAAAAAUAAGAAGACAAAUGAUAGGACUUUGCAUACCUUUAGUGAACCUGAGAUAGAAAAACCUCCUGAAACAAAUGAUGUCUCCAUCUCUGAUGCUGAAACUCAAUCUGGUAAUGAACAUUUAUCUAGUGAUAAUGAGAAUGAUAAUGAUGAUGUUUAG
Molecule: ribosomal RNA, 438 nt
Filed under: Triticum aestivum (bread wheat)
Lineage: Eukaryota; Viridiplantae; Streptophyta; Magnoliopsida; Poales; Poaceae
Description: partial small subunit ribosomal RNA
Source: RNAcentral